This 453-nucleotide ribosomal RNA is filed under the name uncultured Porphyromonadaceae bacterium. RNAcentral describes it as "partial 16S ribosomal RNA". It matches the Rfam family "Bacterial small subunit ribosomal RNA", at positions 341 to 792 of the family's 1533-position model. The record is from RNAcentral. Lineage: Bacteria; Pseudomonadati; Bacteroidota; Bacteroidia; Bacteroidales; Porphyromonadaceae.
ACGGGAGGCAGCAGUGAGGAAUAUUGGUCAAUGGGCGGAAGCCUGAACCAGCCAAGUCGCGUGAAGGAUGAAGGUAUUAUGUAUUGUAAACUUCUUUAGUCGCAGGGAAAUAAGGCGGACGAGUCCGCUGAUGCUAGUAUGCGAAGAAUAAGGAUCGGCUAACUCCGUGCCAGCAGCCGCGGUAAUACGGAGGAUCCGAGCGUUAUCCGGAUUUAUUGGGUUUAAAGGGUGCGCAGGCGGUCUUUUAAGUCAGUGGUCAAAUCGUGGGGCUCAACCCCAUCCCGCCAUUGAUACUGGAGGACUUGAUUGCGGUCGAGGUUGGCGGAAUUCGCCGUGUAGCGGUGAAAUGCAUAGAUAUGGCGAAGAACUCCGAUUGCGUAGGCAGCUGACCAAGCCGUAAAUGACGCUCAUGCACGAAAGUGCGGGGAUCGAACAGGAUUAGAUACCCUGGUA